RNAcentral lists this ribosomal RNA (494 nucleotides) under uncultured bacterium. RNAcentral describes it as "partial 16S ribosomal RNA". It matches the Rfam family "Bacterial small subunit ribosomal RNA", at positions 28 to 507 of the family's 1533-position model. The record is from RNAcentral.
GACGAACGCUGGCGGCGUGCUUAACACAUGCAAGUCGAACGGUGAAGCGCCUUCCUUUUUGGUGGGUGUGGAUGAGUGGCGAACGGGUGAGUAACACGUGAGUAACCUGCCCCCUUCUUCUGGAUAACCGCAUUAAAGUGUUGCUAAUACGGGUUAUUCUGUGUCUGUCGCAUGAUGGGUCUGGGAAAGUUAUUGUUUCGGUGGGGGAUGGGCUCGCGGCCUAUCAGCUUGUUGGUGGGGUGAUGGCCUUCCAAGGCGGUGACGGGUAGCCGGACUGGGAGGGUGGACGGUAAGACUGGGAAUGAGUGACGGAAAAGACUGAUACGGGAGGCAGCAGUAGGGAAUAUUGAACAAAGGGAGGAAGCAUGAUGCAGCGACGCCGGGUGAGGGAAGGAGGCAUUAGGGUUGUGAAACUCUUUCGCCAGUGAAGCAGGGCGGCCUAGUUUGUGGGUGGGUUGACGGUAGCUGGAUAAGAAGCGACGGCUAACUACGUG